RNAcentral lists this long non-coding RNA (786 nucleotides) under Ornithorhynchus anatinus (platypus). Its description in RNAcentral is "lncRNA (ENSOANG00000042859.1)". Lineage: Eukaryota; Metazoa; Chordata; Mammalia; Monotremata; Ornithorhynchidae. The record is from RNAcentral.
UAGGGAAGCAGUAGAGGGGCCAGGUAGCAGAAAAGGGAGACCCUCAGCCAUCUUGAGACAAGAGCCACUCCCAAGAAAGAGACGGUAAUCUAGUCCCUGAUGAUCCCUUCGCCUUCAGGGAUAUACCUGGACUAUAGUCAGAGGAUGGUGGCAGGUAUAAGGACCAGUUGCAACCCCAUUGGAGUCAUCACAUCCACCUACUUCAUCGCUCCUAAGGAACCAGUCACAGCCCCAUCACUGUGAUCGCACUCUCUUUUAUCACUCCUUCGGACCAGCGCAACCCCAUUGCACUGAUUGCCCCUCCUUCCUCAAUUCUCCCCAGGAACCAGGGACAGCUCCAUUGCAGUGAUCACAUCCUCCUUCCUCAUCGCUCCCCUGGAACCAGUUGCAAUCCCAUCAUCGAUCAUACCUUCAUGCAUCACAGCAAUUGCAUCCUCACUGAAAUAGCAGGAUUCCCAGAUCCAUCACAGUGAUCACGUCCUCCUUCCUCACUGCUCCUCUGGGACCAGUCAAAGCCCCUUCACCUUUGAUUCUACAUCUCUUCUACAGAGUCCCCUGGCAAAUGUCAAAGAGCUGGUUAGCCAUGUGAACCAUGUGAAAUUGUCCAGCCACUCAGCCUGCCAUCACCCAUUUAGGGGUCUCACCGGAGACCACAGCUACAGUCGUCUGAGCCCAACUUCUGCAUUGCUUUUACACUGUAAAAGCAUAAGUAGAGGCAGUGUGGCCUAAUGGAAAGAGCAUGAGAACUGCAAAUCAAAAGACCUGGAUUCUAGUCCCAGAUAUGCC